AUGUUUGUUGGAACUUCAAUGGAAAAUAGUCCCGCUUUACUUGUGCCAGUCAUCAGUCUUGACAGCCAAUCAGAAGGCCUUGAUUCGUCUCUUCCGUGCUGGGUGCCACGGGCACAGCAUGACCUUGCUCAGAGGGUGGCAGAGUUACGUCAGUUACAGGAGCGCCAUGUCACUGAGACUGAAGCUGUAAAACGUGGCAUAGAGCGAGCUAUCUUGGGUUGCCGCAGAGAGGAGCGCCGCCUGCUGGAGAGGGUGGAGCAGGACCAUCGUGACACUCAACAGCGACUGGAGCAAGUUCAGAAGGAGAACUUGGCAGCAGCCAGAGUCAGCAUGGGUCUGUUAGACCAGAGGCUAUGCAAACUGGUUCAGCUUCAGCAGCAAGUCCAAGAGGCGGCUCCAUUAGUUUUAAAUGAUAGCAGUGCAAACCAAAAUUUACUUCUCAAAGAAGUGGCAGAAUUCCUACAACCAUGGGAAAUAUCUGUUUCCCUUAAAAAAGUCAAUUUCAAGCCUAGCCCUCAACCCAAUGCGGUAGUUUUUGGAGAGAUCCAUGUGCAAGAACAAAGCCUAUCGCUACAUGUUGGGGGUUGUGGACGUCAAGGUCAGAUGUGUUCUCUCCAUUCUCAGGCAAUGAAGCUGGGAGAUACAACAAAUAAAUGUUCUGGAAGAAAGCCAAAAUCCAAAGAUCAAGACUGGACUUCACCAGCAGGCAGGGUGAUUAAAAAAAUCAGCCUCUCUAACCAAAGUGAUUUAGAGUUAGAGGAAGAGCAGACAAUGUCUUCUGCAAAGAUAUCUCAAUGGCUUCCAAAGUGUCAACAGCCUGAUUGGGAGUCAUGCCAGGAAGACAAGGUUGAUACAGCAUAUCUUCAGCAGCAAGGAAAAGACAAAUAUAUGGCUGUCUCUACAAAUCUGAAGGACAUGGAUAAUAAAAGCAGAGACCCAGCGUACAUAAUGAGCAGUGAUGAGUUGCACUGCUGUCCCAGAAAUCCAAGGAAAAUGUUAGGCAUGGCCGGCAGGAAGCCAUCACCAUCCCCCGAGCGAAGAAGAGACCGUGUAAAGCUUGGUUACUCCUUGAGUUUGGACAGACAGGAGAGCGAUAAAAGAAAGAUUAUUCAAGAAUCUUCAACAGACAACAGAUUUCUGAGGUAUGGCAGCACUCCCCAUACCUGUCCAAGGUUGGCACAAAGACAGUCUCAAGCUAGCCAAAGCUGCCUAGAUCUUACCUCCACGGGGCGUUCUCACUCUCGUCUUAGCCAGUCUUCUGACGAACAUUCUUUGGGUACACAGGGGGACUCGGGUCGUGCACCAUCGCCAGCAGACAGCCUCGACUCGAGCUAUACUUUCAUUGUCAGCCCAUCUCAUCAUGAGUACAGCAUAAAUCGGGGGUCUUUGAGCUACAGUUGUCGUCUAUCAAGGUCUGCGGUUGAUUUGACACAUAAGACGUAUCCGUUAAUCACUGCAGGAUCUAAUGGACAUGGAGAGUGGAAGAGCACCAAUAUCAACAGCAGGUCAAGAACUACAUCACCACCCAACAGAAAAGGACCAAGAGUAGCUGACACAAAAAAAUACAAAGCUUAUAACACUUUACCACAAAGGAAAGCCACCGCAGCUGAAGUGGUGAAGUCUGCCAUUUGUAGCUCUGCAAAAGAGACAAAAGAGGCUCGGGAAGAAAGAGGAGAGCCGGCAUUGGUAGUGUUAGAAGAGGAGGAUGACCUGUCAUUUACAGAUUUCAGCACACCAGGUGUCCAUCUUAUCAGUCAGUUUGGGAAACAGGGUUCAGGCAGGUCAGAUCUUACCCUGCCCAGUGGAAUCCACGCCAUGUCACAGGGCCAGAUGUUUAUAGUGGACUGUGGUAAUGCACGCAUUCAGGUAUGUAGAGUGGUUUCACUGUGUUUCACUAUGUUACCCUGGAGAAUAAAAUUGUCCAUUUUAUAA
This is a long non-coding RNA of Gouania willdenowi (blunt-snouted clingfish), 1932 nucleotides long. Lineage: Eukaryota; Metazoa; Chordata; Actinopteri; Blenniiformes; Gobiesocidae. The record is from Ensembl.